UCUUUCCAUCGUCUCACUCUGAAGCUCUUUCACUGCCGAGCUUAAAGAAAAAUAUUUUUCUUUUUAUCUCCCAAAUCCUCCGCUGUCUAAACCAACAGAUCUUCAUGAACAACAAUUCUCUUCUUCAUCUCUCCAGACUCCAAAUUUGUUAUGUUCGAUGGAGAAGACCAAUUAUCAUCCUCAGUUGAAUUCUCGAACAGUUGAAGCCGGAUUUGGUUAAGUUUCACCUUCACCAACAAUUGAAGGAUCGACUGAUUUCCCAGAAAGAAGGAAACCGCAAGUCUCAUGAAUCAAAGUAGUAAAGUAUUUAAAGCCUUAUCGUAAACGAUUUUAUCAUUUUUCUUCUUUAAAUUAUCAUUCUCGUUCGGAUCUUGAGCAUCAACUUCAUCAGGUAUAAUGUAUUGAAGCUUUUAUUUAUUUAUUAAGAUUUCAAUUUCUUAAUUUGGGCUAAGGGUUUUCAAAUAAUCUUUUAUAAUCGAUUUAAUGUUCUUAGGAUAUAUCUGUUGCUCUUGCUUGAUUUGGGAAUUUUUGAUUUGGGGACCAUGGAAAAAAACAACUUUACUGAUUUUGUUGUAGAGAUCUGAGACAUGGGUUUUCAACUUUCCUUCUCCUUUUCAUUUAGGGAUAUUCUUGAAUUGAUAGAGGUUCUGUAUUAAGUGGUUGUUACUGUUGUGUUGGUGUUUGUUGUUUAUAGAUUUUGGUGUUUGUGUGGUCUUCCAUGGUGAGUAUGAUAUGGUUUUAGAUCUGCUGGACUAUAUUCAUCCAAGCAUGUACCUUUAAAAGAUGUUAAACAGCUUGAUGUUGAGUUCCAUGUAUCCCUGUGGAACUUUGAGCUUUGUUUACUUUGUUUGUGUGUAUUUGUAGGAAGGAAUGUCGAUGGAAGGGAAAUUAUGGUUCUUGUGAAGUAUGAUCCCAAUGCUCAACGGCAAAAAUUUCAUAUCUGAGUCUACUAUGACCGAGUUCUCCGUUGUCGUAUAUAAGUAAGUCACAACCCUUGUCGAAGGUAUUGCUGAUUGUAAACCAUUCCAGUUCCAGGUCUCGUGACCAGCAUUUUGGUCGAGAUAGUAGAAGUAUGGGUCAGGAAUAAUAUGAUGACAGAUCUCGUGGGAGGUAUAAUCGAGAUUCACGCCACUGCGGUAGGCACCACAGUUUAAGUCCUGAUUACUGAAAUGGUGGUAGUCGAAGUCGAUAUGAAGAAGAAUGCAGAAGGAGCAUAAGCAAGUCAGCUGGCAGGUGGUACAUUUUAUACAUCUUGGAUUCUUGUCUUCUCUGUCUUUGCGUUUUAUAUUGAUAUCAGUGAUGUACCAACGAUGGUGCUACUAUACUGGAGAUGUUAGAAUUUGAACAUCCAGCUGCUAUAGUAAAGAUAGAGAGAAAAUGAGGAAUAAAAUACACCCAAUAUAUGUAAUCAGUGGAUAAGACUGGAUAAAGAGAUUAAGGACAUGUACAAAUAUGUGGAUUGUUCUUGACUAAAGGCCCCUCUCAUUUUCAAUGAUGUUUAUGAGAUAAUUAUGAAGGACUUCAAGAUGAGAUGGGAACAAAAGGAGUUUGAAAGGUGUUUCUUACGUGUUGAUGCGAUGCAGAAGACUAUUGGAAGUGUGAAGAUAUGGGAAAAGCUUAUAUAUAUGCCUUUUGUACUGAAAGUUGGAUCUUGAAUUAAUCUACAAAGUCUAAAUCCAUGGCUACGAAGACACCAAGCUGAUGAAGUUAUUCCCUGAAAAUUUUCGAAACAUCUGUGACUAGGACGUGCUUGCAGAUUAGUUCCGCUAAGGAUUAAACCCCAAGGGAAAACAAAGAUUUGUGAAAGCUCUGGAACUCAAUGGUUAACUGGCUGGAGGAGGCAGGAAAUGGUGCGGACAAUGAAUGUUACUAUUCAAGCCUGGAGGAGGCAGUGCUGCAGAGGACAGAUUACACUGGUUAGAACUACAAAUUACACUGGUUAGAACUGCAUAGGACAGAUUACACUGGUCAGAACUACAGAUUACACUGUCAGAAUUACAGAUUUUAAUCCUUUGUGUAAUUUGAAACCAAUGAAUCAAUGAAUGUUAAAUUGAUUGAUUAUUUGUGUGCAAGUUUAAUUUGACUCUCAUUUUUAUUUGA
Papaver somniferum (opium poppy) is the source of this 2100-nucleotide long non-coding RNA. RefSeq lists it as uncharacterized. NCBI's taxonomy places the organism in Eukaryota, Viridiplantae, Streptophyta, Magnoliopsida, Ranunculales, Papaveraceae. The transcript is spliced from 9 exons. The record is from RefSeq and is a predicted model, not a curated record.